CCGAUGACUCGGGGAUAGCCUUUCGAAAGAAAGAUUAAUACCCGAUGGCAUAGUUCUUCCGCAUGGUAGAACUAUUAAAGAAUUUCGGUCAUCGAUGGGGAUGCGUUCCAUUAGGUUGUUGGCGGGGUAACGGCCCACCAAGCCUUCGAUGGAUAGGGGUUCUGAGAGGAAGGUCCCCCACAUUGGAACUGAGACACGGUCCAAACUCCUACGGGAGGCAGCAGUGAGGAAUAUUGGUCAAUGGACGAGAGUCUGAACCAGCCAAGUAGCGUGAAGGAUGACUGCCCUAUGGGUUGUAAACUUCUUUUAUACGGGAAUAAAGUGAGGCACGCGUGCCUUUUUGUAUGUACCGUAUGAAUAAGGAUCGGCUAACUCCGUGCCAGCAGCCGCGGUAAUACGGAGGAUCCGAGCGUUAUCCGGAUUUAUUGGGUUUAAAGGGAGCGUAGGCGGACGCUUAAGUCAGUUGUGAAAGUUUGCGGCUCAACCGUAAAAUUGCAGUUGAUACUGGGUGUCUUGAGUACAGUAGAGGCAGGCGGAAUUCGUGGUGUAGCGGUGAAAUGCUUAGAUAUCACGAAGAACUCCGAUUGCGAAGGCAGCCUGCUGGACUGUAACUGACGCUGAUGCUCGAAAGUGUGGGUAUCAAACAGGAUUAGAUACCCUGGUAGUCCACACAGUAAACGAUGAAUACUCGCUGUUUGCGAUAUACAGUAAGCGGCC
RNAcentral lists this ribosomal RNA (717 nucleotides) under uncultured bacterium. Its description in RNAcentral is "bacterial SSU rRNA". It matches the Rfam family "Bacterial small subunit ribosomal RNA", at positions 129 to 848 of the family's 1533-position model. The record is from RNAcentral.